This 230-nucleotide ribosomal RNA is filed under the name uncultured bacterium. Its description in RNAcentral is "partial 16S ribosomal RNA". It matches the Rfam family "Bacterial small subunit ribosomal RNA", at positions 108 to 339 of the family's 1533-position model. The record is from RNAcentral.
GAGUAACGCGUGGGAAUCUGCCCUGGAGUGGGGAACAACAGUUGGAAACGACUGCUAAUACCGCAUACGCCCCACGGGGGAAAGAGGGCCUCUUCUUGAAAGCUCUCACUAUUGGAGGAGCCUGCGUUGGAUUAGCUAGUUGGUGGGGUAAAGGCCUACCAAGGCGACGAUCCAUAGCUGGUCUGAGAGGACGAUCAGCCACACUGGAACUGAGACACGGUCCAGACUCC